This is a long non-coding RNA of Ictalurus punctatus (channel catfish), 2124 nucleotides long. The record is from Ensembl. NCBI's taxonomy places the organism in Eukaryota, Metazoa, Chordata, Actinopteri, Siluriformes, Ictaluridae.
UUCUAAUCACAGAAAUAUAGUAUAAAAGUAAUGCUUUAUCCCCCCCCCCAAAAAAAUUUUUUUUACAGAAUAGUCACACUUUUGAAUAGGGUACAAUUUUAUUUAAAUUGAUCUAAAUAAAAUUACAAGAUAAUAUUACCAUGCUGGUUCAUAUCAAAAUAAAUAAAACACCAUUAACAACUUUCUUAACAGCAGCAUUAUGUACAAGGCUAAUGAAAAAGAGCUACAUGCAGUAUUAAACAAAAGACUGCAAUUGUUUGCAUUCUAAUCUAACAUUGUAAAGUUUUUUCUUCUUUUAUUUUUUCUUCCCCUUAUUCAGGACUACAUGUGGGAAUUUGUCAGUCAUAAAAAGCUCAGCCGAUAUUAAAUCCUUGUUUACAAACAAGGAUUUGCUCUGUAAAGCCAUUCGUUAGCCGACGUAUAAGGUUUGUAAAAUUCAGCCUAUUACUCCUUCCCUGCCAAUGAAGUACUAACACUCACCUCUAAGCGCAGUUGUAAUAGUAUUAACACAAUACAGUACAUGAUGAAAAGGCUUGAUGGAUAUGAAGGAUAUGAAGCAGUUGAACUGGCCAUCGUGCUCUAUACGCCAGCACAUUACACUUACAUUUACACUCGGUCAUGUUUCUUUAUUUUGGUAGAUGCUUUCAUACACAUGACGAAGAAGCCAGUCUCGAGAACGCAAUAGAACUCACCCCUUUAUCACUAGUACAGAAUUUAAAAACUACGCUCAGGACACUUGUAUGGUAAAUGUGUGAGAAACACUUCAGAAGAAAAAGUCACACUAUAGUACAGUGGUCACCAACCUUCUUCCUAGAGUUCUAGACCUUUGUUGACGUUUUCAUCUCCAACCAAAAUCUAACACACCUGUUUUAGUUGAUCAAGAACUUCUUAAGGCAAUGAUUAAGCUGGUCAGGUGGGCACAGUUCUGCUUGGAGCUAAAGUCUCCAGGAACAGAGUUGGUGACCAUUGCCUUAGAACAAUUUACGAACAGAAGACGGACACGUAAAACGAGAAAUGUUUAGAAUCCAAUGAUAAAAAUGACUGGUACAAUUGGUACCAAUAGUUUUGGUACAAGGUACAAUUUACUGUUCUCAUUAACACCAAAAUCGAAAACAUCAGCAAACUGGAGUGGACGUACAGAUGAUAAAUAAAUAAAUAAAUCUGAACCAGUGUGAUAAGGGGUUAAACUGUGGAUAACAAAAUUUCAGAAACAUCAUGUAUCAUGAAAAAAAAAAACAAUUUACAAAGACAAAGACAGACACUCUACUGUUAGAAGCAAGAUCUUAAAAUACACUAUAUGGCCAAAAGUAUGUGGACACCUGACCACUGCACUCGUGUGUGGUUUUUCCCCCAAACUGUUGCCACAAAGUUGGAAGCGCAUAACUGUCUGGAAUAUCUUUGUAUGUUUUAGCAUUACAAUUUCCCUUGAACUAAGAAGCGCAAACAUGCUCCAUCAUGACAAUCCCCCUGUGCACGAAGCAAACUCCAUGAAGACAUGGUUUGCCAAGGUUAGAGUAGAAGAACUCGAGUGGCCUGCACAGAACCCUGACCUCAACCCCACUGAACACCUUUGAGAUGAAUUAGAAAGCAGGCUGAACCCCAGGCCUUCUCGCGUUACAUCACUAAUGCUCUUGUGGCUGAAUGAGCAAAUCCUCACAGGACAUAUGGGUCUUAUAGUCAAGUGUCCACAAACUUUUAUCCAUAUAGUGUAGUUCAAGCAAGAGUGCUUAAUAAAGAUUGCGCAGUAAAUAACGUCAAGGCUCUAUGAAGUUUGCACAAAAUGUGCACAUUUUAAUUUGCUCAUGUGUUUUUGACAGCUCAAGCGUAAUUAGAACGAUUCCUCUAUAUUCUUCCUCUGUACUUGCGUCUUAAUACGGACACAGCGAAGACCUGGAUAAGCGGAUUGCUUUGAUUAACUAUUUGGCAACUAAAAAUGGAGUUGAAAUACUUGUAAUUAUUUAUAUAGUGUGAUAUAGUGGGGGGAGAAAACUGUGUUCUCUUUAAUUGGAGCCCUAUGUGAUUCAUUUUACAUAAUUGUACAUGAUAUUUCAGUUCAUAGCACAACUGUAAACAGCCUUGGGACAUCCCUGCUCAAAUAAAACAACAACAAAUUAAUAAACAAAA